UCCGAUUCCUACGGGAGGCAGCAGUAGGGAAUCUUCCGCAAUGGGCGAAAGCCUGACGGAGCAACGCCGCGUGAGUGAUGAAGGUCUUCGGAUCGUAAAACUCUGUUAUUAGGGAAGAACAAAUGCGUAAGUAACUGUGCGCGUCUUGACGGUACCUAAUCAGAAAGCCACGGCUAACUACGUGCCAGCAGCCGCGGUAAUACGUAGGUGGCAAGCGUUAUCCGGAAUUAUUGGGCGUAAAGCGCGCGUAGGCGGUUUUUUAAGUCUGAUGUGAAAGCCCACGGCUCAUCCGUGGAGGGUCAUUGGAAACUGAAAAACUUGAGUGCAGAAGAGGAAAGUGGAAUUCCAUGUGUAGCGGUGAAAUGCGCAGAGAUAUGGAGGAACACCAGUGGCGAAGGCGACUUUCUGGUCUGUAACUGACGCUGAUGUGCGAAAGCGUGGGGAUCAAACAGGAUUAGAUACCCUGGUAGUCCACGCCGUAAACGAUGAGUGCUAGGUGUUAGGGGGUUUCCGCCCCUUAGUGCUGCAGCUAACGCAUUAAGCACUCCGCCUGGGGAGUACGGCCGCAAGGCUUAAACUCAAAGGAAUUGACGGGGACCCGCACAAGCGGUGGAGCAUGUGGUUUAAUUCGAAGCAACGCGAAGAACCUUACCAAAUCUUGACAUCCUUUGACCGCUCUAGAGAUAGAGUCUUCCCCUUCGGGGGACAAAGUGACAGGUGGUGCAUGGUUGUCGUCAGCUCGUGUCGUGAGAUGUUGGGUUAAGUCCCGCAACGAGCGCAACCCUUAAGCUUAGUUGCCAUCAUUCAGUUGGGCACUCUAAGUUGACUGCCGGUGACAAACCGGAGGAAGGUGGGGAUGACGUCAAAUCAUCAUGCCCCUUAUGAUUUGGGCUACACACGUGCUACAGUGGACAAUACAGAGGGCAGCGAAACCGCGAGGUCAAGCAAAUCCCAUAAAGUUGUUCUCAGUUCGGAUUGUAGUCUGCAACUCGACUACAUGAAGCUGGAAUCGCUAGUAAUCGUAGAUCAGCAUGCUACGGUGAAUACGUUCCCGGGCCUUGUACACACCGC
RNAcentral lists this ribosomal RNA (1071 nucleotides) under uncultured Staphylococcus sp. Its description in RNAcentral is "bacterial SSU rRNA". It matches the Rfam family "Bacterial small subunit ribosomal RNA", at positions 331 to 1393 of the family's 1533-position model. The record is from RNAcentral. Lineage: Bacteria; Bacillati; Bacillota; Bacilli; Caryophanales; Staphylococcaceae.